GACUCGGUAGCGGAUGGUCCGCAUCUGCUCUCCUUGCAAGGGGAAUGUGCGAGGAUCAAGCGGAAGAUGCCGGUUCGAUUCUGGCCCGAGUCG
Molecule: non-coding RNA, 93 nt
Organism: Mycena capillaripes
Lineage: Eukaryota; Fungi; Basidiomycota; Agaricomycetes; Agaricales; Mycenaceae
Source: the annotation of a GenBank genome assembly